RNAcentral lists this ribosomal RNA (533 nucleotides) under Boeremia exigua. RNAcentral describes it as "eukaryotic LSU rRNA". The stretch from base 184 to 337 matches the Rfam family "5.8S ribosomal RNA". Lineage: Eukaryota; Fungi; Ascomycota; Dothideomycetes; Pleosporales; Didymellaceae. The record is from RNAcentral.
UCGUAACAAGGUUUCCGUAGGUGAACCUGCGGAAGGAUCAUUACCUAGAGUUGUAGGCUUUGCCUACCAUCUCUUACCCAUGUCUUUUGAGUACCUUCGUUUCCUCGGCGGGUCCGCCCGCCGAUUGGACAAACUUAAACCCUUUGUAAUUGAAAUCAGCGUCUGAAAAAACAUAAUAGUUACAACUUUCAACAACGGAUCUCUUGGUUCUGGCAUCGAUGAAGAACGCAGCGAAAUGCGAUAAGUAGUGUGAAUUGCAGAAUUCAGUGAAUCAUCGAAUCUUUGAACGCACAUUGCGCCCCUUGGUAUUCCAUGGGGCAUGCCUGUUCGAGCGUCAUUUGUACCUUCAAGCUCUGCUUGGUGUUGGGUGUUUGUCUCGCCUCUGCGUGUAGACUCGCCUUAAAACAAUUGGCAGCCGGCGUAUUGAUUUCGGAGCGCAGUACAUCUCGCGCUUUGCACUCAUAACGACGACGUCCAAAAAGUACUUUUUACACUCUUGACCUCGGAUCAGGUAGGGAUACCCGCUGAACUUA